RNAcentral lists this unclassified non-coding RNA (336 nucleotides) under Nocardia uniformis. RNAcentral describes it as "16S-23S ribosomal RNA intergenic spacer region". Lineage: Bacteria; Bacillati; Actinomycetota; Actinomycetes; Mycobacteriales; Nocardiaceae. The record is from RNAcentral.
AAGGAGCACUUCUACGCAACGCUCUUCACACAGGUGAAUGAGAAUGCGUCAGAGACCGUUUAGUCCUCAUAUGUAGGGCUGCGGACGCUCAUGGGUGGAACACUGACAACCUCAUCGCACUCGGAACGAGCUCGGUCUUGUUCCGCGGUGAUAUACCGACACACUAUUGGGUCCUGAAAGAACAGACGCGAGUCUGGCUUUCUGGAUAAUCAACAAACGAUCCGCUCGGAUCUUCGAGAUACCGCCGACAACGGAAGUUGUCGAGUUGGUCUUGGAAUUGUGUCUGGGUGGGUGUGUUGUUUGAGAACUGCACAGUGGACGCGAGCAUCUUUGUUA